Molecule: microRNA precursor, 106 nt
Filed under: Mus caroli (Ryukyu mouse)
Lineage: Eukaryota; Metazoa; Chordata; Mammalia; Rodentia; Muridae
Description: miRNA (MGP_CAROLIEiJ_G0007362.1)
Source: RNAcentral
AGAAAUAUUUUCAUGCAUACACACAAAUUCAUUCAUAUAUAUAAUGUGUGUGUGUGAUACACAUACAUACAUACAUACAUACAUACAUACAUACACACAAUCAUUU